Molecule: ribosomal RNA, 437 nt
Filed under: uncultured bacterium
Lineage: Bacteria
Description: bacterial SSU rRNA
Rfam family: Bacterial small subunit ribosomal RNA
Source: RNAcentral
GGACAAUGGGCGCAAGCCUGAUCCAGCAAUGCCGCGUGCAGGAAGAAGGCCUUCGGGUUGUAAACUGCUUUUGUCAGGGAAGAAAUCCUCUGGGUUAAUACCUCGGGGGGAUGGACGGUACCUGAAGAAUAAGCACCCGGCUAACUACGUGCCAGCAGCCGCGGUAAUACGUAGGGUGCGAGCGUUAAUCGGAAUUACUGGGCGUAAAGCGUGCGCAGGCGGUUGUGCAAGACAGGUGUGAAAUCCCGGGCUUAACCUGGGAACUGCACUUGUGACUGCACGGCUAGAGUACGGUAGAGGGGGAGUGGAAUUCCGCGUGUAGCAGUGAAAUGCGUAGAUAUGCGGAGGAACACCGAUGGCGAAGGCAAUCCCCUGGACCUGUACUGACGCUCAUGCACGAAAGCGUGGGGAGCAAACAGGAUUAGAUACCCUGGUAG